RNAcentral lists this ribosomal RNA (490 nucleotides) under uncultured bacterium. RNAcentral's name for it is "partial 16S ribosomal RNA". It matches the Rfam family "Bacterial small subunit ribosomal RNA", at positions 30 to 507 of the family's 1533-position model. The record is from RNAcentral.
AUUGAACGCUGGCGGCAGGCCUAACACAUGCAAGUCGAACGGUAACAGGAAGCAGCUUGCUGCUUUGCUGACGAGUGGCGGACGGGUGAGUAAUGUCUGGGAAACUGCCUGAUGGAGGGGGAUAACUACUGGAAACGGUAGCUAAUACCGCAUAAUGUCGCAAGCCCAAAGAGGGGGACCUUCGGGCCUCUUGCCAUCGGAUGUGCCCAGAUGGGAUUAGCUAGUAGGUGGGGUAAAGGCUCACCUAGGCGACGAUCCCUAGCUGGUCUGAGAGGAUGACCAGCCACACUGGAACUGAGACACGGUCCAGACUCCUACGGGAGGCAGCAGUGGGGAAUAUUGCACAAUGGGCGCAAGCCUGAUGCAGCCAUGCCGCGUGUAUGAAGAAGGCCUUCGGGUUGUAAAGUACUUUCAGCGGGGAGGAAGGGAGUAAAGUUAAUACCUUUGCUCAUUGACGUUACCCGCAGAAGAAGCACCGGCUAACUCCGUG